RNAcentral lists this ribosomal RNA (253 nucleotides) under uncultured bacterium. RNAcentral describes it as "partial 16S ribosomal RNA". It matches the Rfam family "Bacterial small subunit ribosomal RNA", at positions 524 to 776 of the family's 1533-position model. The record is from RNAcentral.
UACGUAGGGGGCAAGCGUUGUCCGGAGUUACUGGGCGUAAAGGGUGCGUAGGCGGUGCAUUAGGUCUGUCGUGAAAUCCCCGGGCUCAACCUGGGAAUGGCGGUGGAAACCGGUGUACUAGAGUAUGGGAGAGGGUGGUGGAAUUCCAGGUGUAGCGGUGAAAUGCGUAGAGAUCUGGAGGAACAUCAGUGGCGAAGGCGGCCACCUGGCCCAAUACUGACGCUGAGGCACGAAAGCGUGGGGAGCAAACAGG